AUUGAACGCUGGCGGCAGGCCUAACACAUGCAAGUCGAACGGUAACAGGAAACAGCUUGCUGUUUCGCUGACGAGUGGCGGACGGGUGAGUAAUGUCUGGGAAACUGCCUGAUUUAGGGGGAUCACUACUGGAAACGGUAGCUAAUACCGCAUAACGUCGCAUGCCCAAAUAGGUGUACCUACUUGCCUCUUGCCCUCGUAUGUGCCCAGCUGGGAUUCGCUAGUAGGUGGGGUAACGUCUCCCCUAGUCGACGAUCCCUAGCUGGUCUGAGAGGAGGACCAGCCACACUGGAACUGAGACACGGUCCAGACUCCUACGGGAGGCAGCAGUGGGGAAUAUUGCACAAUGGGCGAAAGCCUGAUGCAGCCAUGCCGAGUGUAUGAAGAAGGCCUUCGGGUUGUAAAGUACUUUCAGCGGGGAGGAAGGGAGUAAAGUUAAUACCUUUGCUCAUUGACGUUACCCGCAGAAGAAGCACCGGCUAACUCCGUG
This 490-nucleotide ribosomal RNA is filed under the name uncultured bacterium. RNAcentral's name for it is "partial 16S ribosomal RNA". It matches the Rfam family "Bacterial small subunit ribosomal RNA", at positions 30 to 507 of the family's 1533-position model. The record is from RNAcentral.